UUUAGAUGAGAUCCUAAGUUAUUACAAAUAGAAUUUUCUUAAGAAAGAUGACUGAUGCUAAUAUUAAUCCAUGCUUCAUUAUUAAAGAUCUUUUGGGCUUCUUCAUGUAACUUAUCUUUUGAGGACCCUAUAUCCUAUAUAAUUUUCCAUACUUUGUACAGUAAAUCCGGACAAUCUUGGUGUUUAUGAAUCGUUUGUGGGUUACUAGUGAAAUGUUUGACUUUGUUAAUGCAGUAAGCAUAAGCAAGACAAUAAGGAAAUCUAAUUGACACAAAUGAGUUAUGCAAUGGGCAGAUCGCACGAGAAAUUUUUCUGGG
RNAcentral lists this long non-coding RNA (317 nucleotides) under Elaeis guineensis (African oil palm). RNAcentral's name for it is "long non-coding RNA (EGUI_LNC023541)". Lineage: Eukaryota; Viridiplantae; Streptophyta; Magnoliopsida; Arecales; Arecaceae. The record is from RNAcentral.